GGUAGAUCUUACCAAGACAAGGCUGGCUUUUCAGCGACCCUCAUGGGUCUCCAUCAAGUUCUUAUGGCUGUGGCAGCUAUCUGCAGUGAGGAGGUUAAGGGUGCACAAGCAUUUGGGAGAGGAUAGCCAGGACUGGUGACCCCAGCUGACCAAGAGAUAUUCUAGACCUUACCAAGUCAUGCUCAGCACUACAGACUGGGUGGACAUUUGCCAAGACUGCCAUUGCCAGGGGACUGGCUGGGAAUCAGUGGGCUGGUGAGCUCAUAAAGUGGUGGCUCAGUCACUUAAAUCAACUUUGUUCUGAGACUUGGAAUGGCCACAACAUUGACUACAUAACCAUGCCCAGCAGUAUAGAGGAUGGCAUAUCUGUUUGCUAUAUAAAAAGGCAAGAUGUAACAUAGACUUCAUUCCUUAUAUCCUCUGUCCACAGUAAAGUCUUUAAA
Melospiza melodia melodia is the source of this 443-nucleotide long non-coding RNA. RefSeq lists it as uncharacterized. Lineage: Eukaryota; Metazoa; Chordata; Aves; Passeriformes; Passerellidae. The record is from RefSeq and is a predicted model, not a curated record. The transcript is spliced from 3 exons.